Molecule: ribosomal RNA, 301 nt
Filed under: uncultured bacterium
Lineage: Bacteria
Description: partial 16S ribosomal RNA
Rfam family: Bacterial small subunit ribosomal RNA
Source: RNAcentral
CAGCAGCCCGGGAAUACGUAGGUGGCAAGCGUUGUCCGGAAUUAUUGGGCGUAAAGGGCUCGCAGGCGGUUUCUUAAGUCUGAUGUGAAAGCCCCCGGCUCAACCGGGGAGGGUCAUUGGAAACUGGGAAACUUGAGUGCAGAAGAGGAGAGUGGAAUUCCACGUGUAGCGGUGAAAUGCGUAGAGAUGUGGAGGAACACCAGUGGCGAAGGCGACUCUCUGGUCUGUAACUGACGCUGAGGAGCGAAAGCGUGGGGAGCGAACAGGAUUAGAUACCCCCGUAGUCCCUGUCUCUUAUACA